This 386-nucleotide ribosomal RNA is filed under the name uncultured organism. RNAcentral describes it as "bacterial SSU rRNA". It matches the Rfam family "Bacterial small subunit ribosomal RNA", at positions 367 to 768 of the family's 1533-position model. The record is from RNAcentral.
CGCAAUGGGCGAAAGCCUGACGGAGCGACGCCGCGUGAUUGAUGAAGUCCUUAGGGACGUAAAGAUCUUUUAUGAGGGAGAAAGUUAUUGAUAGUACCUCAUGAAUAAGGGGUUGCUAAACUCGUGCCAGCAGCAGCGGUAAUACGAGUGCCCCAAGCGUUAUCCGGAAUCACUGGGCGUAAAGCGUGUGUAGGUGGUUGUGUUAGUCUUUUGUUAAAUUCUUCGGCUUAACCGGGGACAUGCGAAGGAAACGGCACAACUAGAGGAUGCAAGGGGUCGACGGAACUCAUGGAGUAGGGGUGAAAUCCGUUGAUAUCAUGGGGAACACCAAAAGCGAAGGCAGUCGACUGGUGCAUUCCCGACGCUGAACACGAAAGCGUAGGUAG